RNAcentral lists this ribosomal RNA (487 nucleotides) under marine sediment bacterium ISA-6384. RNAcentral's name for it is "bacterial SSU rRNA". It matches the Rfam family "Bacterial small subunit ribosomal RNA", at positions 37 to 515 of the family's 1533-position model. The record is from RNAcentral.
UAGCGGCAGGCUUAACACAUGCAAGUCGAGGGGUAACAGGAGAAAGCUUGCUUUUUUGCUGACGACCGGCGAACGGGUGCGUAACGCGUAUAGAAUCUGCCUUGUACAGGAGGAUAGCCUUUAGAAAUGAAGAUUAAUACUCCAUAAUGUAGAGUAGUGGCAUCGCUAUUUUAUUAAAGAUUUAUUGGUACAAGAUGACUAUGCGUCCUAUUAGCUAGAUGGUAAGGUAACGGCUUACCAUGGCGACGAUAGGUAGGGGGUCUGAGAGGAUUAUCCCCCACACUGGUACUGAGACACGGACCAGACUCCUACGGGAGGCAGCAGUGAGGAAUAUUGGUCAAUGGAGGCAACUCUGAACCAGCCAUGCCGCGUGCAGGAAGACUGCCCUAUGGGUUGUAAACUGCUUUUAUACAGGAAGAAACAGAUCUACGUGUACGGCCUUGACGGUACUGUAAGAAUAAGCACCGGCUAACUCCGUGCCAGCAGC